RNAcentral lists this transfer RNA (75 nucleotides) under Fibrobacter sp. Its description in RNAcentral is "tRNA-Thr". It matches the Rfam family "tRNA". From Rfam's summary of the family: Transfer RNA (tRNA) molecules are approximately 80 nucleotides in length. Lineage: Bacteria; Pseudomonadati; Fibrobacterota; Fibrobacteria; Fibrobacterales; Fibrobacteraceae. The record is from RNAcentral.
AGGCCGAAUAGUUCAAUGGGCAGAACGGCUGAUCUGUAAUCAGCAGGUUGCCGGAUCGUUUCCGGCUCAGGCCUU